RNAcentral lists this ribosomal RNA (467 nucleotides) under uncultured bacterium. RNAcentral's name for it is "partial 16S ribosomal RNA". It matches the Rfam family "Bacterial small subunit ribosomal RNA", at positions 29 to 507 of the family's 1533-position model. The record is from RNAcentral.
ACGAACGCUGGCGGCGUGCUUAACACAUGCAAGUCGAACGGAAAGGCCCUGCUUUUGCGGGGUGCUCGAGUGGCGAACGGGUGAGUAACACGUGAGUAACCUGCCCUUGACUUUGGGAUAACUUCAGGAAACUGGGGCUAAUACCGGAUAGGAGCUCCUGCUGCAUGGUGGGGGUUGGAAAGUUUCGGCGGUUGGGGAUGGACUCGCGGCUUAUCAGCUUGUUGGUGGGGUAGUGGCUUACCAAGGCUUUGACGGGUAGCCGGCGUGAGAGGGUGACCGGCCACAUUGGGACUGAGAUACGGCCCAGACUCCUACGGGAGGCAGCAGUGGGGAAUAUUGCACAAUGGGCGGAAGCCUGAUGCAGCAACGCCGCGUGCGGGAUGACGGCCUUCGGGUUGUAAACCGCUUUCGCCUGUGACGAAGCGUGAGUGACGGUAAUGGGUAAAGAAGCACCGGCUAACUACGUG